This 74-nucleotide transfer RNA is filed under the name Erysipelotrichaceae bacterium. Its description in RNAcentral is "tRNA-Gly". It matches the Rfam family "tRNA". From Rfam's summary of the family: Transfer RNA (tRNA) molecules are approximately 80 nucleotides in length. Their secondary structure includes four short double-helical elements and three loops (D, anti-codon, and T loops). Further hydrogen bonds mediate the characteristic L-shaped molecular structure. tRNAs have two regions of fundamental functional importance: the anti-codon, which is responsible for specific mRNA codon recognition, and the 3' end, to which the tRNAs corresponding amino acid is attached (by aminoacyl-tRNA synthetases). tRNAs cope with the degeneracy of the genetic code in two manners: having more than one tRNA (with a specific anti-codon) for a particular amino acid; and 'wobble' base-pairing, i.e. permitting non-standard base-pairing at the 3rd anti-codon position. The record is from RNAcentral. Lineage: Bacteria; Bacillati; Bacillota; Erysipelotrichia; Erysipelotrichales; Erysipelotrichaceae.
GCAGAUGUAGUUCAAUGGCAGAACUCAACCUUCCCAAGGUUGCUACGGGGGUUCGAUUCCCCUCAUCUGCUCCA